This 1400-nucleotide ribosomal RNA is filed under the name uncultured Chloroflexota bacterium. Its description in RNAcentral is "uncultured Chloroflexi bacterium 16S ribosomal RNA". It matches the Rfam family "Bacterial small subunit ribosomal RNA". The record is from RNAcentral. Lineage: Bacteria; Bacillati; Chloroflexota.
AGUCGGACGAGGUCUCACUUUCGAGUGGGUUCCCUAGUGGCAGAUGGUAGAGUAACGCGUGGGUAACCUGCCCUUGAGUCUGGGAUAACUGCGAGAAAUUGCAGCUAAUACCGGAUACACUCUGUUGCUCUUUGUAGCAGAGGAAAGAUUUAUCGCUCUAGGAUGGGCCUGCGUCCUAUCAGGUAGUUGGUGUGGUAACGGCGCACCAAGCCGAAAACGGGUAGCUGGUGUGAGAGCAUGACCAGCCAGAGGGGGACUGAGACACGGCCCCCACUCCUCCGGGAGGCAGCAGCAGGGAAUCGUGCACAAUGGGCGAAAGCCUGAUGCCGCGAUGCCGCGUGAGGGAUGACGGCUUUAGAGUUGUAAACCUCUUUUUUCAGGGAANAGCAAGGACGUUACCUGAGGAACAAGCCACGGCUUACUACGUGCCAGCAGCAGCGGUAAUACGUAGGUGGCGAGCGUUGUCCGGAAUUACUGGGCGUAAAGGGUCCGUAGGCUGUCGUAUAAGUCUCCUGUGAAAUCUCCACGCUUAACGUGGAAUGGUCGGGAGAAACUGUACGACUAGAGACUGUCAGAGGCAGGUGGAAUUCCCGGAGUAGUGGUGAAAUACGUAGAUAUCGGGAGGAACACCAGUGGCGAAGGCGGCCUGCUGGGGCAGUUCUGACGCUGAUGGACUAAAGCGUGGGKAGCGAACCGGAUUAGAUACCCGGGUAGUCCACGCCCUAAACGAUGGAUGCUAGGUAUGGGGGGUAUAGACCCCCUCCGUGCCGCAGCUAACGCAUUAAGCAUCCCGCCUGAGGAGUACGGCCGCAAGGCUAAAACUCAAAGGAAUUGACGGGGACCCGCACAAGCAGCGGAUCGUGUGGUUUAAUUCGAUGAUAAGCGAAGAACCUUACCAGGGCUUGAAAUGCGUCCGACCGGCUGGGAAACCAGCCUUUCUUCGGGACGGUCGCACAGAUGUUGCAUGGCUGUCGUCAGCUCGUGUCGUGAGAUGUUGGGUUAAGUCCCGCAACGAGCGCAACCCCUGUCGCUAGUUAGGAUGUCUAGCGAGACUCCGCCACUGGGGCGAGGAAGGUGGGGUCGAGGUCAAGUCAUCAUGGCUCUUACGUCCUGGGCUACACACACGAUACAAUGGCGGUGACAGAGGGUCGCAAAGGCGCAAGCCGGAGCCAAUCCCACAAACGCCGCCCCAGUUGGAAUUGCAGGCUGCAACCCGCCUGCAUGAACGCGGAGUUGCUAGUAACCGCAGGUCAGCACACUGCGGUGAAUACGUUCUCGGGUCUUGUACACACCGCCCGUCAAGUCAUGGAAGUCGGCAACACUUGAAGUCGCUGGGCUAACCGCAAGGAGGCAGGCGCCGAGGGUGGGGCUGGUGACUGGGACUAAGUCGUAACAAGGUA